AGCAGUUAGUGCUGCCAUGCUGCAGGUUCACAGUUAGCUUGGGGCUAAGAUAAUUGGUUUUUCCUGUUUCUACCUUAUCCAUCUCCAGGAGAGAAAAACGAAAUGACAUAGCAGUGCAACCCACGUUACGGCCAUGCCUUACAAUCUGGAACUUUGAUCAGUAAUGAAACCUCAAUGCUAACAGGGCUGUAAUAUCACCUUCUGCUUGCAGUCUGAAACAUGCAUGCCUCAGACACCUCCUGCCUAGGACACCAGCCAUCAGGAAGAGGAGCAUUCGGU
Gavialis gangeticus (Gharial) is the source of this 279-nucleotide long non-coding RNA. RefSeq lists it as uncharacterized. NCBI's taxonomy places the organism in Eukaryota, Metazoa, Chordata, Crocodylia, Gavialidae. The record is from RefSeq and is a predicted model, not a curated record. The transcript has 3 exons.